Molecule: non-coding RNA, 410 nt
Organism: Arachis ipaensis
Lineage: Eukaryota; Viridiplantae; Streptophyta; Magnoliopsida; Fabales; Fabaceae
Source: RefSeq, a predicted model, not a curated record
AUGAGUCUUGGCCAGAAACUCCGGCAACGCAACAGCAGGGACGUUUUUUAGCGGCAGAGGCUUACCAGCGCAACUCAACACAGGACCAGAUAGAGCGGUGGCAGCCUCCAGCAACUCCGGCGAGCUCCCUCAACAACGAUAACGGUCGGAGCCUCGGUGGCAUUGACGAUGGCAGGAACGGCGGGGAUAGCUUCGCACGGCACGACGGCGCUUGACCCUUCCCCCACCGCGAGCUCUCUGCCUCUCGCUCUCCAUCGCGACGGCGACAGUGAGGGACACGACGAUGUGGCUCCAACGGCGCACCACCCAUCUCGCGUGUUCCCUGUACGUGAUCCCAACGGCAGCAGAUCGACGAGGAUGAGCUCCUCUAGCUCGCUUACGGCAGCUAUUUCCUCAACCCUCUUCUGCGC